This is a long non-coding RNA of Prionailurus viverrinus (fishing cat), 349 nucleotides long. RefSeq lists it as uncharacterized. The record is from RefSeq and is a predicted model, not a curated record. Lineage: Eukaryota; Metazoa; Chordata; Mammalia; Carnivora; Felidae. The transcript is spliced from 3 exons.
GGGAAGGAGGAUGUGGGCGCGGCGUACUACGUGUCCCGUGAGCCUCCGCGGCGGGGCGGGGCCGCGGCGGCGCUAGGAGGCGGAGGCGGAGGCGGAGGUGAAGGCGGAGCCGGAGUUGGAAAGGUGUCCCAAAGUUUUCUCUGAGGCCAAAAGAAGAAAAGACCCACCCACUCUAAAGAAAUUGAGAAUUGGACAGAGAAAAACCUUUAGUUUGUUCCCUUUCAGGCUAACUGUAGGGGCUUGUGGAGGAUGGAUGACUGUGUCCUGAAACACAAAAAGAAAGCCUUGACAGGAAUCACUUUAAUUUCUUUUGUUUUUGAUGACUAGAUAUAUGCUUCACUAUUGUCAA